GACAAAAGAUGUCUUAACAAUGUCAGUAGAAUGCUUUAUGGGAAUGCUGUGGCUUUCUGGUAGGAAAUCAUGUGACCUCCUCGGCCAAGGUUUUGUUAUGGUGCCAGGAGGGAGAGAACGAGAGAGGGAGUGAAGGGGGAAACUUGGAAUGCGAUGCCAGCAAAGGGUUUUUAUUCUUUCUUUUUGGGGCUUUCUUUCAUUCUUGUGUUUGCUGAGAAAAUGGCGGACGGUGUGGAGCUGAAAUGAACCCGACUUGCCAAUGGAGCUGGGCACAAUAACACAACUCAACUUUAGUAUUUUUAAAUACAUUUUUUAGCAUGGCACCCAUGUCACAUAGCUUUUUGAUUCCUGAUAAAUCCUGCUUCCUAUCUGUCUGUCUCCGGCUGGGUACAAAAGAGAGGUCUGAACAAUCCAAAUCAAGUAGAGAUGAUGAAUGUCAAAUGGUUAGUAGAAAUCUGGAGUGAGAAAUGACCAUGGGUGACUCCUUACCCUGAAAGGCACACGAUCAACAAGACCGAAGAGGAGGAGGAGGUAGCGGAGGUGUAGGGGAGGGGGUGGCAGAAGGGAGGCUGUUCCUCAGACGGCGCAGAGCGCUCUCUUCUCGUCUCCCCUCAUCAUUGGUAUGCAGUGACUGUUCCCCAGGCGACAGGGCCACUGGGUUGGGGCUAAACUGACUGCAGGAGAGUCAGGUCUACAAAGUAAAUGAGAGGAGAGCAAGACAGCAGGUAAGGGUAAUGAGAACAGGCAGAGAGAGGGAGGGAGGAGGACAAGAGAAAGGCGGAAGGGAAGCUAGAUGUCCCAAGGGGCUUUUGGGGUGAGGCACCGCCUGACCCCUCACACUCCGUACACUGUCCAGGCCCACACACAUACACACACACAUAUUAAUGCUUAAACUCCUGACCAGAUACAUUAUGUUCAAGUGCACAUCAUGUAUCCAAAAAACAAUAACAUAUCAGUUAGGCUAAUGUUUUUUUUGUAAGAGCUUUUAUGACUAUAUAGUGAUAAUGUAAUGUUUCUUGAGAUGCGUGCAUAUGAUUUCCUCAAAUAUUUGUAUUUUAUUAUGUUAUUCCAUAAAACAUGAAUCUAUAAAAAUAUAUUUGAAUAUAUUUGUAAUGAAAGCAAAUGAUGGAAUGCAAAUAGUGUAAAAUGUCAUUACAAAUUUAAAGAAGUGUGAAAAUAAACUGAUGAAUAUUACA
Oncorhynchus masou masou (cherry salmon) is the source of this 1196-nucleotide long non-coding RNA. RefSeq lists it as uncharacterized. The transcript has 3 exons. The record is from RefSeq and is a predicted model, not a curated record. NCBI's taxonomy places the organism in Eukaryota, Metazoa, Chordata, Actinopteri, Salmoniformes, Salmonidae.